RNA transcript from Pezoporus occidentalis (night parrot), 3423 nucleotides. It is a transcript of the gene named P-selectin-like, with no coding region annotated. The record is from RefSeq and is a predicted model, not a curated record. Lineage: Eukaryota; Metazoa; Chordata; Aves; Psittaciformes; Psittacidae. The transcript is spliced from 19 exons.
GUGGGAGGGGAAGAAGACAAGAGCAGGGAGCAAUGCUCUGCACACUUGGAGGAAGUGUGAGCACCACUGCCCACAGAGGGGCAGAUGCGCCUGGCACUGCCAGCAGCUGGGCAAGGCGUGUCUGUGGUGCUGACAUGGGCACUGCUCCGGGACUGCGGUCUGCUGGAAGGACAUGGGCUCUGAGCUCUCAUGGCAUCUGCUACCUGGGCAUCGCUGCCAUUGCAUGGGGCACGAUAACACAACUGGAGGUGAGUGCCUGGACAUACCACUACAGUGACCAAGGGGACUACACAUGGGAGCAGGCCAGGAACUACUGCCAGACCUUCUUCACUGACCUGGUGGCGAUCCAGAACAAGCAGGAGAUUGAGUACCUCAACAAGAGCCUGCCCUUCUAUGGGCGCUACUACUGGAUCGGCAUCCGCAAACUGAGUGGCACCUGGACCUGGGUGGGCACUAAGAAGGCACUGACAAAGGAGGCAGAGAACUGGGCAGCUGGGGAGCCCAACAAUCGCCGCUCCAACCAGGACUGUGUGGAGAUCUACAUCAAGCGGCUGUUUGAGUCUGGCAAGUGGAAUGAUGAGCCCUGCAACCGGAGGAAAAAAGCACUGUGCUACCGGGCCUCCUGCCAGCCCUUCCCAUGCAGCCAGCGCGGCAAGUGUGUGGAGACCAUCGGGAGCUACCGCUGCGAGUGCUACCCUGGCUUCCAUGGUCAUGAGUGUGAGGAUGUUGUGCAGUGCACUGAGCUUGACCCCAAGGGAGUGCAAAUGAACUGCAGCCAUCCCUAUGGACGCUUCAGCUACAACUCCACCUGUGUGUUUGAAUGCCAGGAAGGGUUUGAACAGCAAGGGGCAAGCACCCUGCGGUGCCUGCCUUCCCAGAAGUGGUCAGCAGACACUCCCAUGUGCACAGCCAUCACCUGCCCAGCGCUCAGUGCUCCAGACUGGGGAGAGCUGAACUGCUCCCACCUCCACGGGGACUUCGCCUUUGGCUCCACGUGUGCCUUCUCCUGCCAGACAGGAUUUGCACUGAUGGGGUCGGAAAGCCGCGAGUGUAUAGCCACAGGAACCUGGACUGGGGAUACCCCACACUGUGAAGCUAUCACCUGCCCAGUGCUCAGUGCUCCAGAACGGGGAGAGCUGAACUGCUCCCACCUCCAUGGGGACUUCACCUUCGGCUCCACGUGUGCCUUCUCCUGCCAGACAGGGUUUACACUGAUGGGUUUGAAGAGUCGUGAGUGCAUGUCCACGGGGACCUGGACUGGGGAUGCCCCAAGCUGCGAAGCCAUCAUCUGCCCAGAGCUCCAUGCUCCAGACUGGGGAGAGCUGAACUGCUCCCACUUCCAUGGGGACUUCGCCUUCAGCUCCACGUGUGCCUUCUCCUGCCAGACAGGGUUUGCACUGAUGGGGCCAGAGACCCGGAACUGCACAGCUACAGGGACCUGGACUGGGAAUGCCCCAAGAUGUGCAGUCUCUCAGUCCCCAAGCUCCUGCUUGGAAUGUACCUCUGUCCCUACAGCCAUCACCUGCCCGGUGCUCAGUGCUUCAGACCGGGGAGAGCUGAACUGCUCCCACGUCCAUGGAGACUUCACCUUUGGCUCCACGUGUCUCUUCUCCUGCCAGAUGGGGUUUGCACUGAUGGGGCCAGAGAGCCGUGAGUGCACAGCCAUGGGGACCUGGACUGGGAACACUCCACGGUGCAAAGCCAUCACCUGCCCAGUGCUCAGUGCUCCAGAUCGCGGAGAGCUGAACUGCUCCCACCUCCAUGGGGACUUUGCUUUUGGUUCCACGUGUGUCUUCUCCUGCCAGAUGGGGUUUGCACUGAUGGGGCCAGAGAGCCGUGAGUGCACAGCCACAGGGACCUGGACUGGGGAUGCCCCACAGUGUGAAGCUGUUGCCUGCCCACUGCUCAGUGCUCCAGACCAAGGAAAGCUGAACUGCUCCCACCUCCAUGGGAACUUCACCUUCGGCUCCACAUGUGCCUUCUCCUGCCAGACAGGGUUUACACUGAUGGGGCCAGAAAGCCUUGAGUGCACAGCCAUGGGGACCUGGACUGGGGACUCCCCACACUGUGAAGCCAUCACCUGCCCAGUGCUCAGUGCUCCAGCCUGGGGAGAGCUGAACUGCUCCCACCUCCAUGGGGACUUUGCUUUUGGCUCCACUUGUGUCUUCUCCUGCCAGAUGGGGUUUGCACUGAUGGGGCCAGAGAGCCGUGAGUGCACGGCCACAGGGACCUGGACUGGGGAUGCCCCACAGUGUGAAGCUGUUGCCUGCCCACUGCUCAGUGCUCCAGACCAAGGAAAGCUGAACUGCUCCCACCUCCAUGGGAACUUCACCUUCGGCUCCACAUGUGCCUUCUCCUGCCAGACAGGGUUUAUACUGAUGGGGCCAGAAAGCCUUGAGUGCACAGCCAUGGGGACCUGGACUGGGGACUCCCCACACUGUGAAGCCAUCACCUGCCCAGUGCUCAGUGCUCCAGCCUGGGGAGAGCUGAACUGCUCCCACCUCCAUGGGGAUUUUGCUUUUGGCUCCACGUGUGUCUUCUCCUGCCAGAUGGGGUUUGCACUGAUGGGGCUGGAGAGCCACAAGUGCACGGCCAUGGGGACCUGGACUGGCGAAACUCCACAAUGCAAAGCCAUCAGCUGCCCGGAGCUGGACCCCCCCAGCAGAAGUCACCUGAGCUGCUCUCACAUGUAUGGGAAUUUCACAUACAACUCCACGUGCACCUUUUCCUGUGAGGAGGGGUUUGUUCGGAUGGGAGCAGAGGUGCUCUGGUGUGCAGUCACAGGGAACUGGACUAGGCAACCCCCUGUCUGUGCAGAGGAUGGUGCCCUCUUCUUAAAGCAAGUCCUGGCCUACAGCAGUGGCACAGCUCUGGCGGUAGCUGGUGUCAUGCUCUCUGGGAUGCUCAUUGCCCUCAUAGCCAAGCGGCUCAGUGACAGAGAUCUGGUUAUUUUUUUUCCAUCUGCUCUAUCCCUGUGGACAUUUCAACACCAUUAUCAGAGGAGAAGAAGAAGCUCUUGAACCCUACCAGUGACCUAGGCUCGCCUGGCAUCUUCACCAAUGCAGCCUAUGAUGCCAACCUGUAAGCCUGGCCCGGACCAAACCCCACCGUGUUCCCCAGCGCCGCAGACCCAGCAGGAGCUGCUGCCAGGGCCUAGAAGGGCUUCGUGUCUUUGCCUGCAGUCCCGACCUGCGCUGCCCGUGGAGGCGGCACCCCCGUUGCGUGCGCGCACACACACACACACACAGAGGCGCUGCCUCCCCGCAAAGCCGUGCACCAGCACCCGGGCCGCUGGCCGCCCUCUGGGGCCAGGCCUGGGCCGGGUCCGUCCCCUGACGGAGCUGCCUCCCUGCUCCCGCCGUUCAUGGUUCUGGCGACGGGCUUGUGCCAGCGGGGCCUCAAUAAACUGCUGUGUCUAAGAAA